RNAcentral lists this ribosomal RNA (578 nucleotides) under uncultured bacterium. Its description in RNAcentral is "bacterial SSU rRNA". It matches the Rfam family "Bacterial small subunit ribosomal RNA", at positions 338 to 916 of the family's 1533-position model. The record is from RNAcentral.
CCUACGGGAGGCAGCAGUAAGGAAUAUUGGACAAUGGUCGCAAGACUGAUCCAGCCAUGCCGCGUGAAGGAUGAAGGCCCUAUGGGUUGUAAACUUCUUUUGUAUGGGAAAAAACCCUUCUACGUGUAGAAGGCUGAUUGUACCAUAAGAAUAAGGAUCGGCUAACUCCGUGCCAGCAGCCGCGGUAAUACGGAGGAUCCAAGCGUUAUCCGGAUUCAUUGGGUUUAAAGGGUGCGUAGGCGGAAUGAUAAGUCAGUGGUGAAAUCCUGCAGCUUAACUGCAGAACUGCCAUUGAUACUGUCAAUCUUGAGUACAUUUGAUGUGGGCGGAAUGUGUCAUGUAGCGGUGAAAUGCUUAGAUAUGACACAGAACACCGAUUGCGAAGGCAGCUCACAAAACUGUAACUGACGCUGAGGCACGAAAGCGUGGGUAUCAAACAGGAUUAGAUACCCUGGUAGUCCACGCUGUAAACUAUGAUUACUCGAUGUUUGCGAUACACUGUAAGCGUCUAAGCGAAAGCGAUAAGUAAUCCACCUGGGGAGUACGCUCGCAAGAGUGAAACUCAAAUGAAUUGACGG